UGAUGCCCCUCGCGUAUCUGAAGAUUCCGGGUGGGCGAGGGAAUCGUCAAAGGGAUC
Molecule: regulatory RNA element, 57 nt
Organism: Chlorocebus sabaeus (green monkey)
Lineage: Eukaryota; Metazoa; Chordata; Mammalia; Primates; Cercopithecidae
Rfam family: Antizyme RNA frameshifting stimulation element
About the family: This family represents a structural element which is found in antizyme mRNA and is known to promote frameshifting.
Source: Rfam